CCUACGGGUGGCAGCAGUGAGGAAUAUUGGUCAAUGGUCGCAAGUCUGAACCAGCCAUGCCGCGUGAAGGAAGACGGCACUGAGUAUCGUAAACUCCUUUUGUAAGGGAACAAACCCAGAGACGUGUAUCUGUCUGAGAGUACCGUAAGAAAAAGGAUCGGCUAACUCCGUGCCAGCAGCCGCGGUAAUACGGAGGAUUCAAGCGUUAUCCGGAUUUGUUUGGUUUAAAGGGUGAGGAGGCGGUCAGGUAAGUUAGAUGUGAAAUCCCGGGGCUCAACUUCGGGACAGCCUUUGAUACUGUUCGGCUAGAGUGUAGUUGAGGUAGGCGGAAUGUGUGGUGUAGCGGUGAAAUGCUUAGAGAU
RNAcentral lists this ribosomal RNA (362 nucleotides) under uncultured bacterium. RNAcentral's name for it is "partial 16S ribosomal RNA". It matches the Rfam family "Bacterial small subunit ribosomal RNA", at positions 338 to 697 of the family's 1533-position model. The record is from RNAcentral.